AUUGAACGCUGGCGGCAGGCCUAACACAUGCAAGUCGAACGGUAACAGGAAACAGCUUGCUGUUUCGCUGACGAGUGGCGGACGGGUGAGUCAUGUCUGGGAAACUGCCUGAUGGAGGGGGAUAACUACUGGAAACGGUAGCUAAUACCGCAUAACGUCGCAAGACCAAAGAGGGGGACCCACGGGCCGCUUGCCAUCGGAUGUGCCCAGAUGGGAUUAGCUUGUUGGUGGGGUAACGGCUCACCAAGGCGACGAGCCCUAGCUGGUCUGAGAGGAUGACCAGCCACACUGGAACUGAGACACGGUCCAGACUCCUACGGGAGGCAGCAGUGGGGAAUAUUGCACAAUGGGCGCAAGCCUGAUGCAGCCAUGCCGCGUGUAUGAAGAAGGCCUUCGGGUUGUAAAGUACUUUCAGCGGGGAGGAAGGGAGCAAAGUUAAUACCUUGGCUCAUUGACGUUACCCGCAGAAGAAGCACCGGCUAACUCCGUG
This 490-nucleotide ribosomal RNA is filed under the name uncultured bacterium. RNAcentral's name for it is "partial 16S ribosomal RNA". It matches the Rfam family "Bacterial small subunit ribosomal RNA", at positions 30 to 507 of the family's 1533-position model. The record is from RNAcentral.